UCCUACGGGGGGCAGCAGUGAGGAAUAUUGGUCAAUGGCCGGGAGGCUGAACCAGCCAAGUCGCGUGAGGGAAGACGGCCCUACGGGUUGUAAACCUCUUUUGUCAGGGAGCAAGGUGCAGGUCGGGACCUGCUGUGAGAGUACCUGAAGAAAAAGCAUCGGCUAACUCCGUGCCAGCAGCCGCGGUAAUACGGAGGAUGCGAGCGUUAUCCGGAUUUAUUGGGUGUAAAGGGAGCGUAGACGGCAGGGCAAGUCUGGAGUGAAAGGCGGGGGCUCAACCCCCGGACUGCUCUGGAAACUGCCAG
RNAcentral lists this ribosomal RNA (305 nucleotides) under uncultured bacterium. RNAcentral's name for it is "bacterial SSU rRNA". It matches the Rfam family "Bacterial small subunit ribosomal RNA", at positions 337 to 639 of the family's 1533-position model. The record is from RNAcentral.